Molecule: non-coding RNA, 83 nt
Organism: Marchantia polymorpha subsp. ruderalis
Lineage: Eukaryota; Viridiplantae; Streptophyta; Marchantiopsida; Marchantiales; Marchantiaceae
Source: the annotation of a GenBank genome assembly
GAGUCAAGUUCACUUGCAGGAGCCCCAUGACGAGAUCCUUCCGGUGGGGCUCCUCCUGGGGCUUCUGCUAGUAAACUUGACUC